Hemiscyllium ocellatum (epaulette shark) is the source of this 284-nucleotide long non-coding RNA. RefSeq lists it as uncharacterized. Lineage: Eukaryota; Metazoa; Chordata; Chondrichthyes; Orectolobiformes; Hemiscylliidae. The transcript has 4 exons. The record is from RefSeq and is a predicted model, not a curated record.
CGAAAAUGCUGCAACUUGAGCAGCAAGCAGAAGAGGAUGACGACGACAAGGAUGUGGCUCUGGGACUGGCAAAAGAAUAUCGAAGUUUGUCAUCUCACCUGAUGUAUCCCUGCACCAUUGCAAAGAAACCCCACAACGUCAACAAGAAUCGUUAUGGCAACAUGUUACCGUACGAUCACUCCCGGGUCAUUCUGAAUCACAGCAGAGCCCAUGGUGAUGGAUUUAUCAACGCCAGCUACAUCCAUGGAUAUAAGAAGACCAACUAUUACAUUGCAACACAAGGU